Molecule: long non-coding RNA, 652 nt
Organism: Daphnia magna
Lineage: Eukaryota; Metazoa; Arthropoda; Branchiopoda; Diplostraca; Daphniidae
Exons: 2
Source: RefSeq, a predicted model, not a curated record
GAUCCACAUUCCGAAAUAGAUUUAUCGCAGUCAGUUGAUUCCGGAUGUAGCUCAUGGUCUAUUGUGCGCGCCAAACUAUGUCUGUUUUUUUUUUUUAUAAAGUUCGGAAUUAGAAAUGGAAGCACUUGUAAUAAAUAAGGAAAAUGGACGAUCGAAAAUUACCUGCGUGAAAGAGUAACCAGACUUUGUCUGUGGUGUGAGGGACGCUUCGUUUUAGAGCAAAGCUUUUGGAUAGCUUGGAAAUGAUUUUGCACUGCACAGUUAAGUGGUAAGCUGUCUUCUUCAUCAACCUUUGCACAAAAGAGAUGAUUAUUUUUGCUCUUCAAACUUAGAACAAGUAACGUGACUAACCAAUAUCUUUAACUUUUUCAAGACAUCAAAGCCAUCUUUUCCGGCCAUCAUGUAUGCUUUAGUAACCAUCCGGUAUUUAGUCUGGAGGUCCAAAUACUGAUCACCUACACGGACAAAUUGCGGGUCCACACGCUGGAGAGGUGGUUUAGUGGGAUCAAACGCAAAACUCAUCCCGCCUACUUGAAGAAAACGGCCCUCCAGCUUUGGGUACAUGCAAACCCCAUUCUCCAAGGCGGCGAGUAAAUCCUCACCUUCAUUAACCAAGCUUUUUACAUUUGGAAAAUACAGACAAAAGGCGAAA